Long non-coding RNA from Neocloeon triangulifer, 668 nucleotides. RefSeq lists it as uncharacterized. The record is from RefSeq and is a predicted model, not a curated record. NCBI's taxonomy places the organism in Eukaryota, Metazoa, Arthropoda, Insecta, Ephemeroptera, Baetidae. The transcript has 4 exons.
CUGCAAUCUUGAUGAUAAUUAUCGGAAGCUUAAUUUGCAUAAUUGCCUGUUUCGGAUGCUGCGGAGAGAUUCCGGUAUCGCUAAACAUAAUGACAACAAUUAAUUUAUACUGUGCAGUCAUCUUGCUGGUUGUUUUUGUUACUCUAAUCGUUGGCGGAAUUUUGGCACUUCUAUGUCAAGAUAAAUUGGAUACGUACCUUAAAAAGUCAUUGCGCGAUCAGAUGAAUUUAUAUGUGCAAGAAGGAAAUGAAGCUGAAUUCGCUCGGAAAUACUGGGACUCGAUCCAAAUCCAGUUUGAGUGUUGUGGAGUUGAUGGACCCCUUGACUGGACCAUGAUGACCCCUAAAAUACCGUUGCCACCAGCUUCAUGUAGUUGCGACGCAAUUUUGACCAGUGAAUGCGUCGCUGGUGUUUACAUAAAUGGAUGCUUCUCGAAACUAAGCGAGUGGAUGAGGAUGACUCAAAACAUACUUGGUGGUGUUGCUAUUGGACUUGCAGUAGUCGAGUUUAUAGCCGUGAUCUCCAUCCUAGCGAUUGCCAUCCGUGAUAGUUAUAACAAUAUUUAGUACGAUAUUUUUAUUUUGCAAUAGGAAUAAUGACCAGAGAUUACUAUUUUUGAUUUGUAUUUAAUUAAAUCAAAAUGAAAGCACGGUUGUAAAGUACCUCCA